This 380-nucleotide long non-coding RNA is filed under the name Phasianus colchicus (ring-necked pheasant). RNAcentral describes it as "lncRNA (ENSPCLG00000006164.1)". Lineage: Eukaryota; Metazoa; Chordata; Aves; Galliformes; Phasianidae. The record is from RNAcentral.
UUUUUUCCUUUACAUUCCACAGCCAAGCCCUGCCAUGUUUUCGGGCAGAGUUGGGCCGCGCCGCCCGGCCUCUCCCCAUGCGCGUGUGUGCGAGGCCUAAAACAAAGCGACCGUGUCAAAGUGCUCCUGACCUGCAGAAAUUUGGACUCUUUCUACAACUGGAUCGUGUGCGUGCACACACACCAAGAAGGUAUUUGUUUCCUUCGCUGCACUUCUCGGCACUGCAGAUAAAUCUGUUGCAUCUCAUUUGGUUACUGAUUCAUUCACACACACACACACACACACCCCAGCAGCCAUGGCCGAGAAUCUUCUCCACUUCUCUUUCUUUCCAGAGUCAGAACUAUUGUCCGACCUUUUUCAUGCAGAGGAAAGCUCGGUGA